Molecule: ribosomal RNA, 500 nt
Filed under: uncultured bacterium
Lineage: Bacteria
Description: partial 16S ribosomal RNA
Rfam family: Bacterial small subunit ribosomal RNA
Source: RNAcentral
AUUGAACGCUGGCGGCAGGCCUAACACAUGCAAGUCGAGCGGAUGAGGGGCGCUUGCACUCUGAUUCAGCGGCGGACGGGUGAGUAAUGCCUAGGAAUCUGCCCGAUAGUGGGGGACAACGUUUCGAAAGGAACGCUAAUACCGCAUACGUCCUACGGGAGAAAGUGGGGGAUCUUCGGACCUCACGCUAUCGGAUGAGCCUAGGUCGGAUUAGCUAGUUGGUGAGGUAAUGGCUCACCAAGGCUACGAUCCGUAACUGGUCUGAGAGGAUGAUCAGUCACACUGGAACUGAGACACGGUCCAGACUCCUACGGGAGGCAGCAGUGGGGAAUAUUGGACAAUGGGCGAAAGCCUGAUCCAGCCAUGCCGCGUGUGUGAAGAAGGUCUUCGGAUUGUAAAGCACUUUAAGUUGGGAGGAAGGGCUGUAGGCUAAUAUCCUGCAGUUUUGACGUUACCAACAGAAUAAGCACCGGCUAACUUCGUGCCAGCCGCCGCAGUAA